UACGUAGGGGGCAAGCGUUGUCCGGAAUCAUUGGGCGUAAAGAGCGUGUAGGCGGCUCGGUAAGUCCGCUGUGAAAGUCCAGGGCUCAACCCUGGAAUGCCGGUGGAAACUGUCGAGCUAGAGUCCGGAAGAGGCGAGUGGAAUUCCUGGUGUAGCGGUGAAAUGCGCAGAUAUCAGGAAGAACACCAAUGGCGAAGGCAGCUCUCUGGGACGGUACUGACGCUGAGACGCGAAAGCGUGGGGAGCGAACAGG
RNAcentral lists this ribosomal RNA (253 nucleotides) under uncultured bacterium. RNAcentral's name for it is "partial 16S ribosomal RNA". It matches the Rfam family "Bacterial small subunit ribosomal RNA", at positions 524 to 776 of the family's 1533-position model. The record is from RNAcentral.